RNAcentral lists this ribosomal RNA (612 nucleotides) under Helix pomatia (Roman snail). RNAcentral describes it as "partial 16S ribosomal RNA". It matches the Rfam family "Archaeal large subunit ribosomal RNA", at positions 1519 to 2690 of the family's 2987-position model. Lineage: Eukaryota; Metazoa; Mollusca; Gastropoda; Stylommatophora; Helicidae. The record is from RNAcentral.
AGAUAUUAUCCCCUUGUAGUGUAGUUUAAUAGCUAUCUACAUAUUAACUUAAUAUAAAGUAUAAUAGUUUAUAUUUUAUAAUAUGACGUUAACAAUUUUGUUUAAUAUUUGAAAAUGUUAGUAUUAGUAAUAUUAGUAUAUGUGCUAAAGGAACUCGGCAAAAAACCACUCAACUGUUUAUCAAAAACAUAGCUAUAUGAAUUAAUAUAUAGUUAUUUCUGCUCAAUGAUUUAAAUAGCCGCAGUACUCUGACUGUGCAAAGGUAGCAUAAUCAGUUGGCUUUUAAUUAGAGUCUGGUAUGAACGAAAAUAUGGGUAGUAACUGUCUUAGCACAUUUUUUCGAACUUAUUAAACAAGUGCAAAUGCUUGUAAUUUAACAAUAGACGAGAAGACCCUAGAAACUUGGACAAGUUUUUGUUGGGGCGACAGAAUUACACUUAACUAAUCUUAUAAUACACGACGCGAUGUUGAAAGAAUAAGUUACUCUAGGGAUAACAGCAUAAUUUCAUUAGUUUGUGACCUCGAUGUUGGACUAGGUACUAUACCCUUAAGGCAAGGAUAUAUUAUGCUCUGUUCGAGCAAAAUUACCUACAUGAUCUGAGUUCAGACCGG